This 255-nucleotide ribosomal RNA is filed under the name uncultured bacterium. RNAcentral's name for it is "partial small subunit ribosomal RNA". It matches the Rfam family "Bacterial small subunit ribosomal RNA", at positions 26 to 285 of the family's 1533-position model. The record is from RNAcentral.
AGGACGAACGCUGGCGGCGUGCUUAACACAUGCAAGUCGAGCGGAAAGGCCCUUCGGGGUACUCGAGCGGCGAACGGGUGAGUAACACGUGAGCAACCUGCCCUUAGCUCUGGGAUAGCUCCGGGAAACCGGAAUUAAUACCGGGUAUUACACCGGCUGGCAUCGGCUGGUGUGGAAAGAUUUAUCGGCUAAGGAUGGACUCGCGGCCUAUCAGCUUGUUGGUGGGGUAGAAGCCUACCAAGGCGACGACGGGUA